AUGUCCAGGAAAGCUGUGCUGGCUUUGAUUCUUCUCUGCCUGUUUACAACAUCUGUAGACCUGACAAUCAUCAGAGCUGGGUGUGGACAGGAUGUCGUUCUGCCGUGUCAAGUUCAUAAAGAUUAUCCCACUGCGGCUGUAUUGUGGAGGAGAACUGACCUAAAGCCAGAAAAAGUACUUUUGUACCAGAGCAAGACGUCUCAUCAAGCCAACAAGUAUCCAUCUUCAAGUAGCCGCUUGCAUCUGAUGGAUGGAUGGAUGGACAGUGGAAAUUUGUCCUUGGCUCUGCAGGAUGUGACGCAGGCUGAGAGUGGAACAUAUGAGUGUCUGGCCAUCGACAAAGAAAGACACCAAUGGAAGACUCACAUUGAGAACACUGAUACCAUCAACACCAUCCAGCUGAUAAUUGUUUCAGUGGCUCCACCACUGAAUGCUGGCAAAAGGCAGUUUGCUCCACCUACAUGUGAUCUGCUUUUGACUUUGGGUCUUCUCUCAUAUUUCUGUUUCUCUGUUUAA
This 516-nucleotide long non-coding RNA is filed under the name Oreochromis niloticus (Nile tilapia). RNAcentral's name for it is "lncRNA (ENSONIG00000009077.2)". The record is from RNAcentral. Lineage: Eukaryota; Metazoa; Chordata; Actinopteri; Cichliformes; Cichlidae.